Molecule: ribosomal RNA, 391 nt
Filed under: uncultured bacterium
Lineage: Bacteria
Description: bacterial SSU rRNA
Rfam family: Bacterial small subunit ribosomal RNA
Source: RNAcentral
AGCGAACGCUGGCGGCGUGCUUAACACAUGCAAGUCGAGCGAAGGUGUUUCAAGGGUAACCUUGAGAUACACUUAGCGGCGGACGGGUGAGUAAUACGUGGAUAACUUACCUCUAGGCCUGGGAUAACCCCGGGAAACUGGGGCUAAUACCUGAUAAGACCACAUUGUCUACGGACAAAGGGGUAAAAGGUGGCUGUGCAAACAGCUAUCGCCAAAAGAUAGGUUCACGUCCCAUCAGGCAGUGGUGAGGUAAUGGCUCACCAAACCAAAGACGGGUAGCCGGCCUUGGCGGGUGAACGGCCACACGGGGACUGAGACACGGCCCCGACUCCUACGGGAGGCAGCAGUGGGGAAUAUUGGGCAAUGGGCGCAAGCCUGACCCAGCGACGUC